UCUACUAUCCGCCAUGGAGACAAACAGCCAAGGACAACCACCUGGAUUUCAUAUCAUCUCUUCCUCCUCCUCCCUGUAAGUAGUGUCCCAAGGCCAAGUGCAGGCUGGUGGGAAAGCUUUGACCAGCAAGGGCCCUGACUCCCCCCUGCCAUCUACAAACAGCUACAUUCCUCACAAACCUCUAAAACCCCUUGCCUCCCCUCUUUUGGGGACAUAUGAAACGAGACAAAUUUGAAGGCUUGCUCUCAUCUCCUGGCUGAUAUCACCUGAAAUAAAAACCCUUUCCUUGCCAUAAGCCUGGUAUUCUAGUUUUUAUUUGGCCCCUCUUGUGUCGUGGGUAAAGAACCUAUGUUUGUAGGUGGUAACAGAAGGAAUGUGUCUGCAUCACCAUUUUGGCCUUAGCUCAUUUCUAAAGAAAGGGGUGAGAUAUUGAUGGAUAUUUCCUGAAAAAGCAAGACAUUAGAAGAAAAUACCUACAAGCCUCUCCAACAGGACUGACCCAGGUAGGGUAUGAAAGAGCUUUUCUAGGGAUCUGGACUUCUUCUGCAUGCCCAGAAGUACUAGAGAAACAAGUCACUACACCUUUUCCCACUUUCCUCAUAAUCUCCCUCAGCUGCCUGGCUGCCUUUGCAUCAGAGGAGGUAGAUGAUUAUGUACCCUAGACUCUCCAAAAACACUGCGGGCUCACUGAGGUCCUGGAUGUAGGGAGAGAAUGGGAACUAAAAUUGCUCAGAACCUACUCGUACUUGACAUUGCACAAGCCACACACCUUUCCAUUUAAUUCACAAAAACACCUCAGGAAGUAGAUGCAAUUAUUCUCAUUUUACAGAUGGGGAAACUGAGACUGAAAGAAGUGAAAUGAAUUGCCUGAGAUUACACAGGUACUUAGGUGGUACAGUCAGGAUCUGCAUUUGAUACUAUCCAACUCGAACAUCCAUAUUCUUUCCACCACACUGGUACCACCAGGCAAGCUUGGUGUACUGUAAAGAUGCAACAAUAAAUGCUUGAUUAUGAAGAUGAAGAAAAGUGCUUUGAAAAGAAUAAAGCUAUUAUUGAAAUGUGAGGUAUUAAUGAUUAUAGAUGUGUCCUACUUUUGAAAUAUGUUAAACAAAGUCAUUAUUUACAUUACGUUACAUUAUUUACAUUACAGUCAUUAUUUACAUUUACAAAGUCAUUAUUUACAUUAUUUACAUUACAUUAUUUACAUGACUUCUUUAAAUAGGAUCUGCUCUAUAUAAAAAGACUGUGUUUACAGAUAUUGGCUUCUUAAUAAUAAUCACCACAAACACUACCUCUAAAUUUGAUGAGUGCUAGGUACUGUGCUUAAAUAUAUAUUUCCUAACAAUAAUACUUGAGUAAGGCUUGUUAUUCUCACAAUAGUAAACAACAAUGGUAGCCCAAAUGUACACAGUGCUUAUUAUGUGCCUGUUCUAAGCCAUGUUUCUCGAAAUUGGCACUAUUGACAUUUUGGACCAGAUAAUUCUUUGUUGUGGAGGGCUGUCCUGUGCAUAGCAGGAUCACACUAGCAUCUCUUGCCUCUACCCAGUAGGUGUUGGAACCACUCCCUGCUUCCCCAGUUGUGACAACCAAACAGUCUCCAGACAUGUCAAAUAUGUCCUGGAGGUGGGGGAAAAAAACUCACACCCUGCCUUCUAACCCUUUACAUAAAUUGUUUUAAAUCUCACAACAACCUACUAGGCAGGUUAUUAUCUCUGAUUCACAAAUGAAGAAAUCGUAGCCCGGGGAACUUAAGUCAUUUGCCUCAGGUAGCGUGGCAAGUAACUGGUGGAGCUGAGAUUCAAACCCAGCAGUUCAGCUCUAGAGUCUGUGCUCUAAACAGAUAGAUUAUUCUGCCUCUCAGUUUACAGAUGAGGAAACAGAAGCAGAGCUCAAGAUGUCCAAGAUGGUAGAGCUAAUAAGUGGAGAGAGCAGGAUUCAAAUUCAGGUCUGAGUGACUUCAAAGUCUGUAUUCUAAAAUACUAUACCAAUUGUCAUCAGACAAUUACCUUGGGCACUCAUUAAAGAUGUAGAUUUGCGGCUCCCACCUCUGGGACUGAUUUUACAGCUCUGGGCUAUGGCCCAGGAAUCUGCAUUUAUACAAACACCUAGGUGAUUCUGAUGCAGUUGGUCCUAGGUCCACACUUUGAGAAACUAUUUUUCACUGCCUCCCUCCCCACAGAGAGAACAGGGUAGUAAGUAUAAAUGGAGCAAAGUGUAAAAAGUGAGUAGGAAAAUUUUAAGGGGCAUCAUUGCUCAGAAGUGAAAUAGCUGAAAAGGGGAAAUAAAAUAAUUUAAGUAGUCAGAGAUGAGAGAUUCAUAAUGGUGCUUUGGGACCAAUCCUUACCUUCAGAGGUUUAUUCUUAGAAUACAAUUACACAAACUCACAAAAUGUUAGGAAAUAAGGAUUUGGCCUAGUAUGACAUUUGUGAAAACUAAUAAACAGAAACCUCAUUUAAAAUGGAGUUGGGAGGGCAGAGGGGGAGCUCUCAUGCCCUACAAAGAUAGCAGAGCCCAAAAGGAAGAAGAAAGACUUCUUCUUGCCCAAGAGCUCAGCCAAUAGAUAUAGUCGCAACUCAGCCAAUGAAAAGCCACUAUAUUCAAACUCUCAAUCCCUCCAAUGGACUAUUUGUUUACAAUAGCCUUCCCAACUUCCCCUUCCCCUCUAUAAAAGAGUUUCCCCUCCCCUUGUUGCUCAGAACUUGUAGGUGGCUUGCCAUGGUUGCAGAUCCUGAAUCACAAUUCUCUGUUGAUCCCCAAAAAACCCAUUUUUGCUGGAGAAAUAAUUGGUUGUCUAUUUGUUUAAGGUCAACACACUUAUGAUUUUUAUUAGAAGACCUGGCUGGAUGAAGAAAUGACAUCUGUGACACCAGCAAUAAGUCAAGUCUUGCAGCGUGCCCCACUAUCUCAGUUCUUUGUAUCAAGAGAGGACAGAGAAGAAAAGCUGGUGAGAGAAUCUGCUCUAUCAUCAGAGUUUGCCGUCUUUGGUGGAGAGAAGGCUUACUAGAUGUGAAGAGGAAGGAAGACUCAAUCAGG
This is a non-coding RNA of Equus caballus (horse), 3033 nucleotides long. The record is from RefSeq and is a predicted model, not a curated record. Lineage: Eukaryota; Metazoa; Chordata; Mammalia; Perissodactyla; Equidae.